Molecule: ribosomal RNA, 1234 nt
Filed under: uncultured eukaryote
Lineage: Eukaryota
Description: SSU rRNA
Rfam family: Eukaryotic small subunit ribosomal RNA
Source: RNAcentral
AGGUAUUCUCAUGUCUCAAGAUUAGCCAUGCAUGUCUAAGUAUAAAUGGUAUACAAUGAAACUGCGAAUGGCUCAUUAAAACAGUUAUAGUUUAUUUGGUAAUCGAAUUUACAUGGAUAACCGUGGUAACCCGAGAGCUAAUACUUGCUGUUGUGCCUGACUCACGAAAGGCCGUAUUUAUUAGAUACCAGCCAAUUGACUUCGGUCAUUGUGGUGAAUCAUAGUAACUUAAUCGGAUCGCAUGGGCUUUGCCCGCGACAAACCAUUCAAGUUUCUGCCCCAUCAUGCUAGAUGGUAGUGUAUUGGACUACCAUGGCUUUCACGGGUAACGGAGGAUUAGGGUUCGAUUCCGGAGAGGGAGCCUGAGAAACGGCUACCACUUCUACGGAGAGCAGCAGGCGCGUAAAUUACCCAAUCCUGAUUCAGGGAGGUAGUGACAAGAAAUAAUGGGUCGGAGUUCUACUCCGGGACUGCAAUGGGACGAAUCUAGACCCUUUUUCGAGGAUCAAUUGGAGGGCAAGUCUGGUGCCAGCAGCCGCGGUAAUUCCAGCUCCAAUAGCGUAUAUUAAAGUUGUUGCAGUUAAAAAGCUCGUAGUUGGAUUUCUGGCGUAUUGUCGAGAACUUCUUUUCUAGGAGAGCGAGACAUACUCCAUCCUUCUGUUAACCUUUGAGAAGGUCAAACUUCUCUUUGGGGCUCAGAUAUUUUACCUUGAGAAAAUUAGAGUGUUUCAGGCAGGCUUGUGCCCGGAUACAUUAGCAUGGAAUAAUAGAACAGGACUUUAGCCUCUUCUGUUGGUCUGGGGGGUUGAAGUAAUGAUUAAUAGGGAUAGUUGGGGGCAUUAGUACUUAACUGUCAGAGGUGAAAUUCUCGGAUUUGUUAAAGACUAACUUAUGCGAAAGCAUUUGCCAAGGAUGUUUUCAUUAAUCAAGAACGAAAGUUAGGGAUCAAAGACGAUCAGAUACCGUCCUAGUCUUAACCAUAAACUAUUGCCGACUCGGGAUCGGGGGCAGAGAACACUGCCUUCGCACCGUUAUGAAAAUCAAAGUCUUUGGUUCUGGGGGGAGUAUGUCGCAAGCUGAACUUUAUGAUGACGAAGCACCCUCAAGCCUGGAGCUUGCGCUCAUGGACUCACACGGAAACCUGCCAGGUCGGACCUUAGUGAGAUUGACGAUGAUGCCUUUUCGAAUCAUCGUGUGCCAUGCGUCUAGUGGCGAGGAUGCCGGUAUGCCGUUA